This 377-nucleotide unclassified non-coding RNA is filed under the name uncultured Pseudomonadota bacterium. RNAcentral describes it as "uncultured proteobacterium contains 16S-23S intergenic spacer region". Lineage: Bacteria; Pseudomonadati; Pseudomonadota. The record is from RNAcentral.
UCCAACUUAUCGCUGGCGGUCUCCUGAUAGUUGCGCCUUGCGGCAUGCCAAAACAGGACAAGGGUUGCGCUCGUUGCGGGACUUAACCCAACAUCUCACGACACGAGCUGACGACAGCCAUGCAGCACCUGUGUUCCGGUUCUCUUUCGAGCACCCCCGCCUCUCAGCGGGCUUCCGGACAUGUCAAGGGUAGGUAAGGUUGUUCGCGUUGCAUCGAAUUAAUCCACAUCAUCCACCGCUUGUGCGGGUCCCCGUCAAUUCCUUUGAGUUUUAACCUUGCGGCCGUACUCCCCAGGCGGAGAGCUUAAUGCGUUAGCUGCGUCACCAAUAAGCAUGCUUACUGACAACUAGCUCUCAUCGUUUAAGGCGUGGACUAC